UUCUUGGUCUCUGUUUCUUUUAAGAAAUACAACUUAGUAGUGCCAGUACUUAAUCAUUCCAGUUAACAUUUGGUAAAAGUCCUAGCUACAGGAAGAAAGUAUUUUAAAAUCAAAAACAUUAUUUUUCAAUGUUCUGAGGAAUCUUGUCUUAAAUGCAAGUAAAUUAACUUUGCUUAAAUUUAUCACUGUGUUCUCAGGUUGUACCUGCCCAGCCUUUGGCACUGAGUGACCUCCUAGACCUUAACAGGCUGUUCU
This 255-nucleotide long non-coding RNA is filed under the name Bos taurus (domestic cattle). RNAcentral describes it as "long non-coding RNA NONBTAT017117". Lineage: Eukaryota; Metazoa; Chordata; Mammalia; Artiodactyla; Bovidae. The record is from RNAcentral.